RNAcentral lists this non-coding RNA (24 nucleotides) under Mus musculus (house mouse). Lineage: Eukaryota; Metazoa; Chordata; Mammalia; Rodentia; Muridae. The record is from RNAcentral.
GAAAGAGGACAAGAAUCCAGAGGU